UACGUAGGCAGCAAGCGUUGUUCGGAGUUACUGGGCGUAAAGAGUCUGUAGGCGGUGCUCUAAGUUUGGUGUGAAAUCUCCCGGCUUAACCGGGAGGGUGCGCCGAAGACUGGGGUGCUGGAGUCUGGGAGAGGAAAGCGGAAUUCCUGGUGUAGCGGUGAAAUGCGUAGAUAUCAGGAGGAACACCGGUGGUGUAGACGGCUUUCUGGACCAGUACUGACGCUGAGGCGCGAAAGCUAGGGGAGCAAACAGG
Molecule: ribosomal RNA, 253 nt
Filed under: uncultured bacterium
Lineage: Bacteria
Description: partial 16S ribosomal RNA
Rfam family: Bacterial small subunit ribosomal RNA
Source: RNAcentral